This 210-nucleotide long non-coding RNA is filed under the name Elaeis guineensis (African oil palm). RNAcentral's name for it is "long non-coding RNA (EGUI_LNC007729)". The record is from RNAcentral. Lineage: Eukaryota; Viridiplantae; Streptophyta; Magnoliopsida; Arecales; Arecaceae.
UCUCAAGUUUUGGAACCCCUCAAAAUGUUUAUAUAAAACAACAAACAAGAACAAGAAAUAUGAUAAUGUAAAUAAGGUUUAGCUCUUUAAUAAGCAUAAUGAAACUUUAAAUACAUUUUAGUCAAAAUUGGAGAAGCUUUUAAGAAUAUUUUUAAAUGGAAUGGAGAGUUGAAUGCACUUUGAGAAGAUGGUUGAGCUUGAAUUGAAUAC